Long non-coding RNA from Pipistrellus kuhlii (Kuhl's pipistrelle), 125 nucleotides. RefSeq lists it as uncharacterized. The transcript is spliced from 3 exons. The record is from RefSeq and is a predicted model, not a curated record. NCBI's taxonomy places the organism in Eukaryota, Metazoa, Chordata, Mammalia, Chiroptera, Vespertilionidae.
CCGCUCUGCCAAAAAAAAGUGCAUUAUUUUAUUCUACUUGCAAGGAGAAUAGGUCUCAGCCUGCCGUUAAGUGGCAUGAGCAACAAAGGACAACAAAUAUCACUAAGAGUAAUGCCCAUACAUAU